Molecule: ribosomal RNA, 253 nt
Filed under: uncultured bacterium
Lineage: Bacteria
Description: partial 16S ribosomal RNA
Rfam family: Bacterial small subunit ribosomal RNA
Source: RNAcentral
UACUGGGGGGGCAAGCGUUGUUCGGAAUUACUGGGCGUAAAGGGCUCGUAGGCGGCCAACUAAGUCAGACGUGAAAUCCCUCGGCUCAACCGGGGAACUGCAUCUGAUACUGGAUGGCUUGAGAUUGGGAGAGGGAUGCGGAAUUCCAGGUGUAGCGGUGAAAUGCGUAGAUAUCUGGAGGAACACCGGUGGCGAAGGCGGCAUCCUGGACCAACACUGACGCUGAGGAGCGAAAGCCAGGGGAGCAAACGGG